CCCCUACACCUUUGGACCUUUUCGUAUUUCAAAUUAUCAGUUAUUUAUUUUAAUCAUUUUCAUCCUUAUUUACACUUUCAGUUUCUCACACUAGAGAAACUAUUCGGUAUUUACACGUGUGUCCUGUUGGGUUGCGGUUUUUAACAGUUCUUUGGGUAUGUUGCUUGUAUUUAGAUACUUAGCCAAAACAAAACUUGUACUUUAUUAUUAUCUAGUUUUAUAGAUGAAAUUUUAAAAAGAGGCUUGGAAGAGGUUCUGUAAUUUGCUUAGGGGAAACCAGAAUAAAUGGUAAAAUCAGCUUUCAGUCUCAGGUCCUUCUGACCCUAGAUCUGUUCUGUAUCACUGUGCCACACAGCCCCUUAGUGUCAUCCCAACACAGAAGUUUGAAGGUGAGACUUGAGCUGGGUGAAUUUACCUGGUCAUGGCCUAGCCUUAACUUUUCAGGCUUAGAUAACUUGUCAUCUAAACACGAUAGUGCAUUCAUCUCUCAUAGCCAAACUCUCCUUAACCACGCUCAUGAGACUGACAUGUAACAUCAUAAUGUCCACUUAGUAAUUCACCACAGGAAAUAGUCCUGUCAUUUAGAAUAUCUCAUGACUGGUGCAUUCUUUCCCUCUAGGGAGAUCUGUGAAGCCAACAACCAGAAGGGAACUUAGCGAAGAUGGAUGAAGAAUGAGGGAAGGAGGAGGGACCUAGGCUACAAGAGUAGUUCCCCAAUAAAUACUGACUGAACAUGUGGAUGAUUGUCACAGCAUAAGAAUCAUCUACCCUGUGCACAUCUUCAGGUUCCCUCUAUCUAUUUCUACUAAGGCCUUGCUACAGGGAUCUGAUACUUGAGUCCAUUUGUUAUGGUUUCCCUGGACAGGUUUUAGGAACUCCCCACCUUGGCCCUCUGACUCAUGGCUUUGUGUGUUUUGUUGUUGAACAAACUUCCUCUCACUAAAACACUGAAGCUAAUAUUAAUGCAGUCAGACCAGGUUACGAUAGAAACUAUCUGGCUUGAGAGUCAUUGUAUCUGGCAGAUGAUUCUGCCUAUUACAUGUUGAUUUUGAAGUUUAAUUCUGGGAAGACACUUUCUAAAUCCUAGGAGACACGUCAGUGUAGCUCCCAAGUUCUGAGUACAUCUAUCAGCUAUGGUUAUGUGAUCCCCAGCACGCAGCAAAUUAAAACUAGGAAGAGGUUGCUGAAGGCAAAUAACUCCGACAACAGUAGAAUAGAAGCUAACAGCCUUAAAGUUACACUAGUAGAAAACUGUAAGAGAUAAUGGAACUCCAACAAACAGCCCAUGGGGGCCAGUUAGCAUAGAGAGGGAGUCCCAUACUUUAGCCCACCCGAUUUAGAAGAAUUACAGUUAUUCCUUUCUAUUGAGCCCCUACUCUUUGUUAGUUACUAUGCUAAACUCUUUUUAGAAAUAUUUUUUUAAAAUUCUAAAAAUGAUCUUUUGAUUUAGGUAUCAAUCUUUGCUUUGAAAGAAGUAUGUUAGUCUUAAAAGGAGUAAGGUAUCCAAGCUCUCACACAAAGUAAAGUAGAAGAGUCAAUGGUAGCCAGUAGGAGAUGGAUUUUUCUCAGAUAGGAAGAUGAUCAAGAUAUGGAGGGAAGGAGGAGAGGGAAAGGGGAUGGAAAAAGGAUUUGAGAUGUGUUAUGUACAUGUACCAAUUUCACACAAGGAAGGUAAAUAUUAUGUACUGUAAACACGUAUUAAUAAAAAAAGUGGAAGAGUCAGUGAGAUAAAUUAGAUGUAUUCCAUUCUUAAGCGUGUGCUGUUAAUUGCCAUGCUAUUGCCCUGUCAGUACAAUACUAGAGGUGUGAUUUGGUGACUGUCUAGGAACUCCAAGAGCACAGACAUUUAAAAACCAUUCCCACUUGAAAGAUUAAAAAUGACAGAGACGUAAAGAAAUAUACUUAGAUUUCAUUGUGAAGUCACAAGUGGAACACUUGCUGAUGGUAGGGCAAUGAAGCCUUUUCUUUUUUUCAAUUGGGAAAUGUUUUUGUAAAGAAUUGCUUAAUUAGGAGCACAGAGGUUUCUUUUGCUUUGCAACAAGUAAAAUUUUAUCAAAAUCCUUUCCAUCUUGAGAAAAGAUUUUCAGUGCAUGUUUAUUUACCUUUUGCACAGUGAGCCAUGCCAUGGCAACAUGUUCUAUUAGGGCAAUAUAGGACUAGUACAAGACCAUUGGGGUCCCAGUAAAAGGAGGUAGCUGCCAUUCUUUUUAGCAGCCCCACUGGCUUGAUGCUAGUGCCCCAUUCAUUUUUUAAAAGAAGAUUGUGGGUAGGAUAAUGUGAUCUUGCAAUGAUUUACAGAACAAUGAUGUUAUGCUUUUAAAAAUACUAAUAAUUAUAAUGUUGCAAUCCUAUUUAAUGCCAAAAUGACAACUGGUAGUGUUUGGGAAUAUUUGUAUGAAAACAAUGACAUUUCAUAGUUAAAACUUGGCAUCAGCAAACUUUGAGGAACAAAAAGACUUGGAUUUAAAUGUAAAUCAGCCUUUUAUGAAGUUUACCCUUUGGUUGUACACCAAUCCGUAAAGCUUUCAGUAUUGAUCUAAGAGUUGUCAUCAUGAAGAUUUAUUUUUCAAUCUCUUUCUAACAGAGGCAGAACCUAUUCCCAGGGCCUGACCCAGACCUAGCUGGUGCUGAACUGUCUGGGUGUGUGUGUGCACACAUGUUGUAUGGAAUUCUUCACAGGCACUAAAUAACACAGAAUACCAAGCCCUUGACUUCAUAAGUACACUUUAUUUUAGACCCCAAACUAGUUGACUGCUCCCAAGAAUUAGUACACCUUCAAGGGAAGAUAUUUUAGUCUCAUUGAGGAGAUUCAAGAGAAUGUGUUUAAGAUCCUGAAUAGAAUGCUCCCCAAAAGUGGUCUAAAAUACUUUGAGCAAUGGCAACCCUGCUGCAAUAAGUAAUAACAGCAAAUACAUAAUUACUACACACCAGGCACUCUCCUUAGGGCUUCUUGUGUAUUAAUUCACUAAAUCUUCACAGUAAUCCUUUAAAGAAGGUAUUAUUAUGGUCGUAUUAUGGCUAAGGAACUGAAACAAGGGUAUAUAUACUAGGAAUUUAUUUUAACUUGGUUGUUUACCUUUCUAAAUAAUGUUCUUUGGAGAGUUAUGAAAGGAAUUUGUACCCAUUAUGAAACUUGGAAAAUAUAAAACCGUCAAGAAGAAAGUGAGAUUUUCUGUGCACAUCUAAUGUGUGUCUUUUUAUCCCUUUGUUCUGUGGGAACAAUUGCAUCUUUUUAGGGUUCUGUUGUGAAUAAGACUAAGUCCACGUGCAGGAUUGAGGGGGGCAAGCCUCUGCCACUUCUCUUAGGUCCUGGUUCCAGCUAAAAAGAUAAAUCUGAAUUCGUAUGUCAGAAGCAAAGUGAUAUUUUUCCCUCCAUCCCUAUAAGUACGGUUGGUACAGACUUUGAAGAGCAGUGGAGUCCACAGAUUGUCACCAUACUGCCAGCUGCAUCUUCUCCGAUUGCUGCAGUCCAGUCCUUUGAGCCACUGUCUGCACUAACAGAGUUCUUAGGGGGAUUCAUUUGGAUCUUCUUAUCUUUGGUUCACUAAAUUUGCAUUUUGCUUCUCAGAUGAUGGGGAGAACCUCUAUCAAUACAUCCCAGGAAGUAGAGAACAGAAGUAGACAUAAGAGAGCACAUAUGUAGAAGGUAAUGGAAGUGGAUUUAAAAACCUCAGCAAAAUGUACAAAGCAUGGGAUCUGCCUUUGGGUCUACUCACAGUCUGCAGUCUGCAUGGAACUUACAAUUCCAGCCACUGUGUCCAAGGUCCAGGCAUCAAGAAGGAGGGGGCAAAGGGAAAGGAGAACCUUUACAGGUGUGUUGGCUCCUUUUGAAGAGUUUUCCCAUAAUCGCCAUCUGACAACUUCUGAUUAUGUUUCAUUGACCACCUGCUUCUGCGAGGAGUCUGGGAAGUGUAGUUCAUUUAGUCUGACUUAAUGCCACUUCCAUCCCUGGAAGGAAGAAGGACAGAAUACAUAUCAUCCAGGCAACUGGUGAUCUCUGCAUGCAGAAUCUCGUAGCUAAAAGCAAGUCAAAUGAGAAGUUAGGAAGCAAGACAGCUUAUAUGGAGGGCCAGUUGGCUAGGUCCAUACCUAAAGGAGGUAUAAGGGAGGCAGUAUAGGCUGAGUUGUCAGCCUGGCUCUGUGCUUUUUGGCUGUGUGACAAUCUCCUGAAUAGCUCAAUGCCUUAGUCCUCUUUGUCCCUAAAAUGGAAUUAUGUUGAAGCUGACCCCACAGGGGAGUUUGAAGGUCUACAGGAAAUAGGAUGUGCAGUGCCUUAAAACUAGAAGGUGCUUUAUGAAUGUAUCUUCCAUAGGUGCUCAGCAAUAGGAGGUGUCCAGGCAAUGAUCGCUUCAGAACUCUCUCAUAAGGACUUCACUGAUCAACACUCACCAUUAUUUCUGCCACUCAUUUAUUAUUCAGUCUUACAUUGGUCCUCAACACUUUUGUCUAGGAAAACUCCCCAUUGAGGUUGCAAGGAAACACCUUGAGCAAAGACGAAAGAUGGAUUUUUGCAAAACCGCAAGGGGCAUGCCAUCUUCCAAUAACUUGGCACAGCUAGCAUUGCCCUUCAGAGAGACAAGGGACAGGAACAGAGCUAGGUGAGGGACAAUUCUGACAUCCCCAGCAUACAAGGCCAAGGCUGUUGGGGGAAAGCUGUCAGCCAGGACAAGAAGGGCAGAGAGAGGACGGGCCAGAAGGGUGAUGAGUUCUAUUCUAGACAUGAGAACAGAACAUGCGAUCUUGAGACACUAGCAGAGGCAACCAGUGACAGCUGACUCCUUUCAUAUAGUAAACUUUGACCAAAUGAUUGUGUACUAGGCACACUCCAGGUGCUCGAGAUUGAACACAGGAAACACAGCCCCUUGUCUUCAGGGAGCUUAGUAGUGAGCCCAGGGUGACACUGUAAGGAAGAGAGGGGCUAAGUGACAUAUGUGGAGUUCAGAGACAGCGAGGUUGGACGUGUGAAGAAUUCUAUAGAGAAUAGUGACAGGAGGAUGGGUGGAGAGAAAAGUCUGGAGAGAGAUGUCAGGAGAUAAGAGAUCUCAAAGAAGCACCUGUAUUUCAGGACCCUUCCAAAGUUGAGCCUGAGGCAGGCUGUGUGGAAGAGGCCAGAGAGAUACGUGUCCAGCAGUGUUCAGGGGCUGUGUCAUUUAUGUGAAGUACCACCGGCAGCUCAAGGCUGAGGACUGGGAGGCUUCCUCCUGAACUAGAUGGAUGUGGCCCAGCCUUGCAUAAUUACUGGCAGAUACAGUACUUGCUGCUCUAAAAUGUUUGCAUGGCUGCUGGUCCAAGUGUGGAAAAGAAAAGCCAGAUUGUCUCUGUCAGUUGUGGCUGCUAUGACAAAACAUUGCAGACUGGGAGAGAUGGAGCGGUUUCUCUCUGAACAACAGAAACUUACUACUCACAGUUCUGGAAACCCAAGAUCAAGGCAGAUUUGGUGUCUGGCAAGGGCCUCAUCUUGGUUCAGAGACAUCUCGCUGGGUCCUCACAAGGAAAAAAGGGUGAGGCAGUUCUCUGGGGCUCCUUUUACAAGGACAAAAAUCCCAUUCAUGAGGCUCUGCCCUCAUUGUCUAAUUGCCUUCCAAAGGCCCCACUUUCCAAUACUAUCACCUUGGGGUUAGAUUCCAAUGUAUAAAUUGGGGGAGUGGGUUCAGUCUUGAGCAGAAAGGGGAAUCUAACUGAUAGUAGGUUCCUGAUUGAGAGAGGAGAAUGAGAAGACAGGUCACGCCCUCCACCACCACUCCACCAUGCAGAGGGGAUGAGAGGCAGGUUGUGGUCCUUGGUCAGGGCAGGUUAGGGGGGGCAGCUGGCUCCCACCACUGUCUCUUUCCUGAGGCAGUGGUCACCCUCUUUCACUCAACUUUCACUCAGCCAUCAUGUCCCUAGCUCCAUACUAAUCUCUGGGGAUGGAGGUAUAGGAGUACACCACACCCCAAACCCAGGCUGGAGGGAACCAGCCUGAUCAUUCCUCAUGGCCCAGGUCAGAUACCAGUCCACCCUGAAGCCUUACUUGACUCCCCCAAAGUUCACAAGUUUUCCACCCCACUUUAUGCUUCCAAAGCAUAGAUAAGGUGGAGACAGCAGUAGUGCUUUGGGAACACAAAGCGGGGUGAAAAACUUCUGAACUUGGGGAAAUUGGUAAGGAGGCUUCAGGGCAGACAGGCAUUUGACCUGGCCCAUGAGGAAUGAGUAGGAGUUUGCCUAAAGAAUGGGGUAAAGGCAGGUGUGUGAUGACAUGUGUGGUGUGUGUGUGUGUGUGUUUUCCUUCUCCUUCCCCAGUGUUUUUGGGAUGCAAAGAUCAUCACGAUGGCUGAGAAUCCAAGGUCCUAGGGCUUUGUAUCUGGCUUGUGUUAUCCACUCCUUCAUUUUACACCAGAAGAAACAGAGACAGGUCUGGAUGACAUGGCAUGCUGACAUGUGGUAGAGUGAAGAGUAUUGUAGCCACUAGUUGCUUUCUCAGAGUCCUCUAGAAAGGCAGAUCUGGGCUCUGAGGACCUUUGUCUUCUCAUUUCAACUCCAUUGGUUCUGACCUCUGCAUUCUGCUGUGUCUCACGGUCAGGGUGUUGAUGAGGUUUUUAGGAAAUGUAGAUGGGGUCUGAGAGGAGUAAAUACAAAUGUACCAUGUUAUAUGCCACAGAUGCAUUCUGGAAAUUUGCAUGUCAGCCUGCCUUUUUUUUUUUUUUUUUUCAAAUUCAAUAGAAUCCUAAAGAAAUUAGGAGGAGUUGUCCUUUAAUGGAGUUCAAACUUGCCUCCUUUUAACAAGAGAAGGGUCCUUUUGUAAUGCAAAUGAUGUCACUAUUCUGUGAGCUGAGAUUCUGUCUUGGCUUUCUUUAAAUGAGACACACCUCUAGAGAGCAAAAUAUGGGCCUUGCUUGCAGUAUUUUAAAUGCAGGCUAGCGUCCACCCUCUGCCUUUGUUGUAAUGCUUACUUUGGUGGUCUUUGUUUAUAUCAGGUAUUAUUUUGGCCACUGGAGGGCCCUCCAGAUAAAGAAUGGUUGGAGAAUCCCAAAUGUGUUCCCUGAGCCCAGACUUCGGCUCACACCCUGAUUUUUGAGCAUGCAGCAUUUCUUGCAAAUCGGAUUUAACUGGGUAGACUAGCAGUAGCAUUGAUGUUUCUUUUAUUUAGGAAUUUAAGCAUAAAAGGAACCCCUAUUUAAAAGAGCAGCUUUUGGAUUAUAGUCUAUUUGGAGCUGGAAAGGAGGCACUAAUCUUGUAUGUGGAGAGUGAUCUUGCAGAAUUCAGUACAGCUUAGAGAAGCGGGGCUUUGAACAAAGGUUAUUUCUCUGUGUGAAGAGAAUCACACCAAGAUGUAUGGAAUGAAACAGACCAAUUGAAGUUAUUUCUCUAAUGAAGCAAAGAGUCUUGGCAGGAACUGGAAAAACAGUUUAGGAGGUUGGUAUCCACACCUAGGAAAACACAAAAUCACCACCGUUCAUUUUUGUGUCACCUUUUUUUCUGCCCCAUUGUUAGAGACUAGUGCAGGGAUUUUAUUUUGCUGAAUGUAAAUAAAAUUCUGAGCUCAUAGAUGUCAAUGCAGCAUGAAAAGUUUCAUAGCUAGUUCUCAAUGGAUUCAAACAGACUUGUCGCAAAACCAGAUAGAAAUAAAGAGUCAAGAAGAGUCCAGAAAAGAAAUAUGGGUCAGUGACUACGUUUCCUUAGUUUAUAAGACAAAGGAAAUCCACCAGAAUUGCUCCACAAGAGACCAAUACCAAGCCAUACCUAAAAUGAAGUCUCAUGUUCUAAUCUUUUAAGACCUGAAAUAAAAAGUAAGGUUGGUCAUAAUGGUUUGCAUCAGUCCCUUUGAACUAGUGAUUUUUUUUUCAAUAAGAGAGCAAAGGGCUGCCAGUGACAGAUGGGCCAGCAAGCAACUUUGAGGAUUAGUUUGGGCCCUAACAAUUUAAAAACACAGGUCCUGCAGACACAGAUGUGGUCAUCAGGGAUACAGUUAAUGGCCAGACCUGUGAAGAUCUGUGAAGAUCUGUGGUUCUCACAGUGUUUGCCCAGCUGUCCAAUGAAAGGGCAUCAUUUCCUGACUCAUCCCUGAGAUGGUAGACAGGCUCCCAGACCCAUGCAAAAGGUGGUUCUUUUUGUAUUUAUUUGGGGGUGAAAUGAAGAAUGGUAAGGAUUGGGUGCCAAUACAGAGCCUCAGUUUCCUUUUUGAACUUGAAAGUUCAUAGACAAGGGGCUCCAACUGAGGAGACAGAUGGACUUCUGUCUCAAUUAGCAGUAUUUGCUCUUCUGGAAAGCUCACAAGUGGGCAGCAGAGAACUGCGGGUGCAUUUAGCAGCUGAGAGUAAAUUGAGGCAAUGGUUCUUAUUGAGGUCGGCAAGCCAGGGUCUUUACAUCUGUUUGAAGAUCUUUCUCCUUUUGAUUAACCCCUCACCAUUGGUGGAAAGUACUGUUUAUGUGGUUCUACCUCAAAUUUUACACCUGCUUUGGUCCCCACCCAACUCUGUGAGUGACAGGAUGUAGAUGAUGUCCCCCUGCCAGAGAGUCUCCAGAAACUGCAGGGAAGGGCUCAUCUUGAAGGCUGGGGGACUGGAGGUCAGGGCUGAAGCAGGCUGAGAGGUACCCAGGGAAGGGAUGUGCUAUCCGCUGAUGACUUGGAGCAGCAAGCUUUGUCUCACAUUGCCCCCAAACACCGAGAAAAGGUGGAUCCAGGAUCUGUAAUCCUCUCCUUGCUUCUGAACUCAGAGCUGUCAUUGUCUCCAACACCGCCUUGACACUAAACAUACAUUUUCUUCUGACAUUAUUUGUAUUGUUUUUUAAAUUGUAUGACAAAUAGUUGUGUUGAGUGAGUGCCGGGCACCUUGCAGGCAGGCAGUAAAUAUUUGCUGAACGUUGAAAGAAGGCUGCGGCUGGGCUGUCGGUAUGGCUCCUAUUCAGACCCUGCGGCAGCUCUGGGUUCUGGAGGCUCGGGGAUUCCGCGUUAAAGGGCUGGUAGAGGGCUGUCUGACCAGAACGGGCUCUGCGAAUACUAGAACAUUCACAGACCUGCAGAGUAAAGGCCACCAUAGCAAGAAAGGUGGCCGGUUGGGGGACGUCCAGGGGGGCUUUCCUAAAAACGCGGUUUCUUUGUUCUGGUAGAUUUCAGCCCGAAGGAAAAGCAAAAUUUUACUGUCUGCAAACCACCAGCGAGCUCCUCCUGUACCCCUUUACCUCUUUCCUUUCCACCCUGGGAAUUUGCUGCUUCUCUCUCCUCCUCCUCUGCCCCAGUGCAGUCCUCAGAGACAAAGGUCUUUGUUGUGAACACUCCAAGACAAUAUAGAAUUGCACAAUACCCAGGGCACAAUCAGAGCUGUCCUCCAAGGAGAGCUAUUGUCGGACAGAGACCCCCCCCCCCCCCACCUGUUGAUCGCCCACUUCCUGGGGUGAGCAGCAACCUGCAUUGUUGCUCAGGAUGCACGCGUUUCUGCACCAGGCUCGGCAGAUGGCGCUCGUGAGCAGAGCCAUUCCCAUCCCUCCCCCGCCUCUCCCCUCAGCCAGCCAGCGCCUUGCUGCUCUAAAGCAAAAACAGAUGUUUUCAUCAUCUCUGGAUCUGGCAUGUGACUUGCAGUUCAGCAAUAUGCCGACAUAACCCAGAGUUGUGCGUUCCCUUCAUCCCCAGCAAAAUAAAAAUUCCCAGUUAAAUCAGCCUUCCUCCUAAGCGAGCCAGUGACACAUGAUCUGUUUAGUCCAAGGGAUGCAUGUUUAAUCGAGCUCCAACUGCAACUGCCCUGGUAGCCAGCCCAGGCUCUAUAAUUGGGACGUUGUCUUUUUUUCAGGAAAGACGAAGAGCAGCCAGACUAGCUAUCUUUACACCAAGAGCUGGAAGAGGCGCUAGCCUUUUAAAAUAGCCCUGGUCUGGCUGGCGGGCGAACCUGUCUGCUGGGAGCUGCGGGGUCGCGCACGGAACACGAAGGCCGGGGCGGCGCGCCCUGUUCCCCGCGCUCCCGGCAGGUGGCAGCAUCGGCCCGAGCCGGUCUCUGCCUCUGGCCAGCCCAAAGCAGGGCCCUUUUACUUUCGGAGGCCUCAAAAUUAUUAGUUCCAGAUGAGUUCUUGCAAUUGUAAUAUUUGAUUUAACCCAAUCUGCCCGAUUGCGUCAGCGCACGCUCAAAUACAGCCGUCUGAAGUCUAACCAGAAAUGAGAGGCAUGUUCCGGGGGGUGUCAACAUUCUUUACCCUUUGAAAGAAUUAAAACAAAACCAAAACGGAGGUUGAUUUAUCCCCAAACGAAAGAAGGGCGAGCAGGCAUGGGACUAGGGUGCCCUGAGAGCAGGGGAACACUGGAAGUUCAGGGAGGGUGUAACAAUAGAACUUUGUAGGCUGAAGCCUGCAAGAGUGGAGCUGGAUUUAUUUGUUGAACUAGGACGGGACCUCUGGGCUGUUUGAAGGUUUGAGCAAAUAAGCAAAACUGGUGGGCAUUUGGUUUACUAAGAGAAGAGCCUUCAAGUCACGUAGAGCAUGCUGUGUCUGGGCCAGGCCUCUGCUUAACACUUGGCCUGGCUGCUCCAGAAGGAGUAGGGAAGAAGGGACACUCUUCUCUUGUAGCACGGAGCAUUUUGGGGCCCCCUAUCUCCAUGUUAAGAAUGCAGACUGGGUUUCUGGAGAACACAAGCUCAGGCCCCAGAAGACCUCUUGAGAAGAGGAGGCCUCCUGCAAGGGCUCUGGCGAGUGGACCCGCUGGGAUCAUCAAGCGUUUUGUAAACAGCCACGCUGCGGUGUCACCUCCACACCCGGUUCUUGACAUAGGGUUGUGGGGAGCAGUGGGCCCUUGGUGGGGAUCCCUUCCUGUGGACUCGAUGUUACAGAUGUGUUAGCUUAGGCUAAAAGACUCUCAGAGCCCUGGAGCAGAGCAACCCAAUCUGCAAAGGCAGCCCAGAAAUCUUGCUCCAGCCUCCAGACAAGCAAGAUAGGGUGCCUGACUUCCCUUUGCUGAGCAGUAACAGGGCCUUGUCAUGCCUUUAUCCCUCCCCUGUCUGCACCCCACUUUUCAGUCUGUGCUCAAAUUCUUCAAGUACCUCUCUCCAGGGCUGCAAGAAAGACUGCUGCUAGCCAACCCCAGGGAGCCUGGCCGUUUCCCUGCAGGUCUCUGGCUCGACAUGGUACUGAUCAAAAGCUGACACUCGUCGGGCAGAUGCUUCAAGUCCUGGGAGCAGGAGUCUGCCAGGCAGGCAGGCUGAGUGCUAUCUUGUUCUGUCUUCCCUGUUCCAGUGGCUGCCCCAUGGUGUAUGUUAGGCAUGGGAAAGGUGGUGGGGGCCCCCACUAGAAUGUUUGGGAAUCCAGGCUUCCUGAAUCUUCCUUUCAGGCUGAAAAAUGCACGUGCCCUCACAGAUUGCUAGGAAAGUGCUGAUUACCUUGGUAGGAGCUGCCCCUUGAUUCUAGAGGAUGCUGGACUUAGGGCGGGGAUGAGGGGAAUAACCAAGUUCAGUUGAUAUGGGAGCACAAUACUGGCUGCCUGUGCCUUCAGGGAAUAGUUGAGAAACCCCAGUAUUUCCUUUCCAUUUGUACUCUUCCUUUAUUCCCUCCUGAGAAUCAGCUUUUGGACAUCUUACUGUCCAGUGAUUCUCAGUCCUGGCUACCUGAGGAUCAUCUGGAUCCCAACCCACAGCUACUUACACCACCGUAGAAAGGGAGUAGUGGAUUAAAAUCAUAAGUUUUAACACCCCUCCUCCCAGGAUGAUUGUAAUGUAUAGCCAGAAUUAAAGAAAAAAAGUCACUGCAGUGCACUUCCUUCUAAUUUGAAUUCCCUUAUUUUACGGAAGAGGUUUGUAAGAGUUAAACAUCUCAGCCAAGGUCACACAAGUUCAAGUCCAAGCCCGGAAUUUCUGUAUAAGACCUCUGGCUCCUCGGUGAUGAUUGAAGCUUUUCCUCAGUUUUCAAACUGUUAAUGACUGACACGGUCACUUAUUUUCCCUGUUUGAUGAAGUCAUCUAACAACCACUAACCUGUGUUCCUACAGUCCUGUGAGAAAUUUGGAAAGAAAAAAUGCUUUAUAGUUACCAAGGAAUUUUGUUUUGCUGCUAUAAAUAAAUGUUUAUACUCUGACAAGUUAGGAAUGAGAAUCACCCCUCACCCUGAUUUCUAUCAUUUACCACUUAUGUUUCCAAAAGGGAUUCACACCUGUAAAUGGCCAUCGUGGCACUAACUAAUAUGCAAGGAUCUGCUUUUAUGGGUGAGGUUUGUGAGGCCUAGAAAAAUUCAGUGAUACAUUGAGGCUAAAGUCCAUGGCAGAGCCAAAAUAAACAAGGAGGCAUCCUAGCACCUGGCUGGCUUUAUUUGUACUACCUUCUCCUGGAGUGGCACAAGGUGCCCUUUGCUUCUUAGUCUUUCACUCUCUGCAUGAAACAAGCACUGCAGAAAUAACUCUGUCC
RNAcentral lists this long non-coding RNA (12353 nucleotides) under Heterocephalus glaber (naked mole-rat). RNAcentral's name for it is "lncRNA (ENSHGLG00100050963.1)". The record is from RNAcentral. Lineage: Eukaryota; Metazoa; Chordata; Mammalia; Rodentia; Bathyergidae.